Molecule: long non-coding RNA, 1203 nt
Organism: Cyprinodon variegatus (sheepshead minnow)
Lineage: Eukaryota; Metazoa; Chordata; Actinopteri; Cyprinodontiformes; Cyprinodontidae
Exons: 3
Source: RefSeq, a predicted model, not a curated record
GCUCAGCUGCAGUGUGCACUGCCCAAAGAAGUGACUGCCCAGCACUCUCAAUGUUUCAUACUUCUCUGCUGCGCCUUGGUUGUGCUGUUUGAAAGGCCGAGGCUAGAGUCUGAGCUGAGGUUGGUGUCUGGCAUCUUUCUGUCCUUGGAGUGCUGCUUUUGGGCCUGCUGACAGUCAGCUGCUGAAGUCGGAUCCAGCAGAGAAAUUUGAAGGCAGAGGAACCCUCGGGAGCUGUGAGAGAUGGGUCUGGUGACAGCUCCUUUUUCUGAUGGCUGAACCUCCCCUUACAUCAGAUGGACCAGCAGUCAGAGAUGAUGACCUGCUUUGGUCGGACAUGAGGUGCAAGGAAGAAUGGGCCAGCCUGCUGUUGAAGUGUACCUAAGGAUAAAUAAGCUGCGGCCACAAAGAGGGCCGAAGCAGCAUGGCCUCUCUGGCCUUCCCACACUCCCUGCAGGAAUGGAUCCAUACAGCUCAGCGCAGCAGCCUGGAUUAGACCCCACGUACCUUUGUGGAGGGAAAGAUUAUCCAGACCUCCCUGCAUUCACUGACAGGGUUUAAGUCACUCUAGCAUGCCAGCAGCCACCCGUCACUUAAUCGCACUCUCAAACUCCUUUUUUUUCCUUUUUUGUUGAAAUUAAGCAGCUUUUCUGGUGCUGCUCCUCAGAAGUGUGUGGACAGAGCAAAGGUUAGUGAUCAGUAAUAAAACUGCAGGAAACUAUAUCUUCUCUAUACUGGGAUUUGGGGGUAAAUUUGAGAUAAAUAGUUGAACCUUCUACUUGAGAUGUGGAGAGAAACUGUGCUUGUUUCUAUGCAUGUUCUCUAACUGUAGAUUAAGACUGAGACCAUUUUUAGGGGAGAAAAGUGUUAGGCAGAGCUGUGAAUAUGCAUGAUGUGUUUGAAUAUUCUGGCAGUUAGAACAUCUGAAUUCAACUUGCUCCCCCUCCUGCUGAGUGCCCAGAGGGCCUCUCACCCCUGUCCUGUGGAACUCUGUGCCCACUCAGCAAGUGCAGGCAUAUCCCACUUCCAUCUGCCUAUGACCUCACAGCCCCUGUUUGUUUAACCCUCUCUCCAAAAAACUAACCUAAUUAUAGCCCUGUAGAACAUGGAUCCAGAAGAUUCCCAGUGGAUUUCUCCACUAUGUGUCUACCUCUCAUAUGGAGGACUGAAACCAGGGGCCAUGUUUUAGUCGGUCCUGUUUUUCAC